UCCAAAUACCCGAAUUUAAAUGGCGGGAAAUAUUUGAAGAAGAAAAUCAUUCUUUCAUUGUAAAUUCUAUUUUAAAAGAAAUCAUUUCUUCGACGAUGGAAAUAAUUUACGAUGUAUACCUUGAAAAAGCUGUUUACUCAUUUGUUGUUCAUUGUUCUCAUAUAGCUUGGCUUCAAUUAUUUGAUGCAAUGGAUUUACAAUAUGAUUUAGGUGAGGAUCCUGCAUCAAUUAAAAAAUACUGGAUAGGAGACAAAGAACAUAAACCAUCACCGAUCGAUUUGUUAUGCUUUAAAAACGUCGAAGUACGUAAAAAAUGUGAAACUUGUUCAUACCCUGAAAACUGCCAGAAAUCAUAGAACUAAUAUACGUAAAUAGAAGAGACAUUGACAAGUUCACACU
This 399-nucleotide long non-coding RNA is filed under the name Polistes fuscatus (common paper wasp). RNAcentral's name for it is "uncharacterized LOC122516548". Lineage: Eukaryota; Metazoa; Arthropoda; Insecta; Hymenoptera; Vespidae. The record is from RNAcentral.